This 732-nucleotide non-coding RNA is filed under the name Lachesilla sp. LaspMLY. Lineage: Eukaryota; Metazoa; Arthropoda; Insecta; Psocodea; Lachesillidae. The record is from RNAcentral.
UAAAGUUUUAUUUUGCUUUAUAUUAAGUUUUUUUAUUUUGUAAAUAUAAAUAUUUAGAAUUUUAAUUUGUAUUAUGUAAAUUUAUUUAAAAUAUAUUAUAUGUAAAAGAAAUAAAACUAACAAAAUAGCUUAAAUUGUGCCAGCAGCUGCGGUUAAACAAUUAUUUUAACUUAAUAUUGUUUAAGUUUUGAAUUUUUGAUUAAUAAAAAUAAAAAAUGGAUUAUUUUAAGUGAAAUUUAAUAAAUUAAUAUUUUUUAUUCAAAUAUUAAUUCAAUAAAAAUAAGAUUAUCAAACUAGGAUUAGAUACCCUAUUAUGAAUUAUAAAAUUAAAAAUUUAGGAUAGUAAAUGUUAAGAUCAGGAAAUCUAAAAAAUUUGGCGGUAUUUAUUCUGAACAGAGGAAUAUGCUUUUAAUUGAUAAUCCCCAUUUAUUCAACUUAAUUUUAUUUAUUUUGUAUACUUCCAUCUGAAGAAAUUUUUAGAAAAUAGAUUUUAUAAUUCUUUUGUGGAAUAAGUUAGGUCAAAGUGCAGAUUAUAAUUAAGAAAAAGUGUAUUACAAUAAAGUUAUUUUUGGAAUUGAAUUGAAAUGUUUAAGGAAAGUGGAUUUGUUGGUAAAAUAAAUUAAAUAAUAUUUAUUUGAAAAAUGUUAAUAAAUGUGUACAUAUUGCCCGUCAUUCUCAAUUUGAGACAAGUCGUAACAAAGUAGAUUUACUGGAAAGUGAAUCUGGUUCAAG